GUCUGGGAAACUGCCUGAUGGAGGGGGAUAACUACUGGAAACGGUAGCUAAUACCGCAUAACGUCGCAAGACCAAAGAGGGGGACCUUCGGGCCUCUUGCCAUCGGAUGUGCCCAGAUGGGAUUAGCUAGUAGGUGGGGUAACGGCUCACCUAGGCGACGAUCCCUAGCUGGUCUGAGAGGAUGACCAGCCACACUGGAACUGAGACACGGUCCAGACUCCUACGGGAGGCAGCAGUGGGGAAUAUUGCACAAUGGGCGCAAGCCUGAUGCAGCCAUGCCGCGUGUAUGAAGAAGGCCUUCGGGUUGUAAAGUACUUUCAGCGGGGAGGAAGGGAGUAAAGUUAAUACC
Molecule: ribosomal RNA, 349 nt
Filed under: Escherichia coli
Lineage: Bacteria; Pseudomonadati; Pseudomonadota; Gammaproteobacteria; Enterobacterales; Enterobacteriaceae
Description: bacterial SSU rRNA
Rfam family: Bacterial small subunit ribosomal RNA
Source: RNAcentral